UAGAGUUUGAUCCUGGCUCAGAUUGAACGCUGGCGGCAUGCCUUACACAUGCAAGUCGAACGGCAGCACGGGAGCAAUCCUGGUGGCGAGUGGCGAACGGGUGAGUAAUACAUCGGAACGUGCCCAGUAGUGGGGGAUAGCCCGGCGAAAGCCGGAUUAAUACCGCAUACGACCUAUGGGUGAAAGCGGGGGAUCGCAAGACCUCGCGCUAUUGGAGCGGCCGAUGUCAGAUUAGCUAGUUGGCGGGGUAAAAGCCCACCAAGGCGACGAUCUGUAGCUGGUCUGAGAGGACGACCAGCCACACUGGGACUGAGACACGGCCCAGACUCCUACGGGAGGCAGCAGUGGGGAAUUUUGGACAAUGGGCGCAAGCCUGAUCCAGCCAUGCCGCGUGCGGGAAGAAGGCCUUCGGGUUGUAAACCGCUUUUGUCAGGGAAGAAACGGCCUGAUCUAAUACAUCGGGCUAAUGACGGUACCUGAAGAAUAAGCACCGGCUAACUACGUGCCAGCAGCCGCGGUAGCCCA
Molecule: ribosomal RNA, 525 nt
Filed under: uncultured bacterium
Lineage: Bacteria
Description: bacterial SSU rRNA
Rfam family: Bacterial small subunit ribosomal RNA
Source: RNAcentral